This is a non-coding RNA of Nematostella vectensis (starlet sea anemone), 96 nucleotides long. The record is from Rfam. NCBI's taxonomy places the organism in Eukaryota, Metazoa, Cnidaria, Anthozoa, Actiniaria, Edwardsiidae.
CAGUGAAAGAAUGAUGAUCAAAUCUUUUUUCCCCAGCUUAUCGACCAUGGUGAUACUAUGCUGAACUUAUCAAGCCAAUUUGUCUGACUUUCACUG